AGCUUUGCACAGUGGCAGUAUCGUAGCCAAUGAGGUUUAUCUGAGGCACGAUUAUUGUUAAUUGAAAACUUUUCCCAAUACCCUGUCAUGACGACUUGAAAUAUACUCGGCAUUGGCAAUUUUUGACAGUCUCUAUGGAGA
Molecule: small nuclear RNA, 141 nt
Filed under: Aotus nancymaae (Ma's night monkey)
Lineage: Eukaryota; Metazoa; Chordata; Mammalia; Primates; Aotidae
Description: U4 spliceosomal RNA (ENSANAG00000004031.1)
Rfam family: U4 spliceosomal RNA
About the family: U4 small nuclear RNA (U4 snRNA) is a component of the major U2-dependent spliceosome. The structure of U4 snRNA from yeast and human has been reported.
Source: Rfam by way of RNAcentral